UACGGAGGGGGCUAGCGUUAUUCGGAAUUACUGGGCGUAAAGCGCACGUAGGCGGCUUUGUAAGUCAGAGGUGAAAGCCUGGAGCUCAACUCCAGAACUGCCUUUGAGACUGCAUCGCUUGAAUCCAGGAGAGGUGAGUGGAAUUCCGAGUGUAGAGGUGAAAUUCGUAGAUAUUCGGAAGAACACCAGUGGCGAAGGCGACUUACUGGACACAUAUUGACGCUGAGGUGCGAAAGCGUGGGGAGCAAACGGG
Molecule: ribosomal RNA, 253 nt
Filed under: uncultured bacterium
Lineage: Bacteria
Description: partial 16S ribosomal RNA
Rfam family: Bacterial small subunit ribosomal RNA
Source: RNAcentral